Molecule: non-coding RNA, 107 nt
Organism: Helianthus annuus (common sunflower)
Lineage: Eukaryota; Viridiplantae; Streptophyta; Magnoliopsida; Asterales; Asteraceae
Source: Rfam
AGACCGUGAUGCGGGCACUUCCUUAGUAGCUCCUUGAACCUUUCCCAUGUCUUGUACAAGGAUUCCCCUUCUUCUUGAGAGUAGGUGUUAAUCUCGCUCAUGAGUUU